RNAcentral lists this transfer RNA (72 nucleotides) under Bos taurus (domestic cattle). It matches the Rfam family "tRNA". From Rfam's summary of the family: Transfer RNA (tRNA) molecules are approximately 80 nucleotides in length. Their secondary structure includes four short double-helical elements and three loops (D, anti-codon, and T loops). Lineage: Eukaryota; Metazoa; Chordata; Mammalia; Artiodactyla; Bovidae. RNAcentral also lists the same sequence under 2 other names. The record is from Rfam by way of RNAcentral.
UCCCUGGUGGCUCAGACGGUAAAGCGUCUGCCUGCAAUGCGGGAGACCCGGGUUUGAUUCCUAGGUUGGGAA